CCAAGUUGGGCGAUUGCCGGCCUGGUCGCGGGCCCGGGGAGAAUAGGAAAUCGGGUGUAAAUCCCGAGCGGUCCCGCCGCUGUGAACGGGGAGUGAUUCCGGUAAAUGCCACUGGCCGCCAGGCGGCCGGGAAGGCCCGGAAAAGCGAUGAGCCGUGAGCCAGAAGGCCUGCCCCCUGGUUAGCCGCCGC
Molecule: non-coding RNA, 190 nt
Filed under: delta proteobacterium MLMS-1
Lineage: Bacteria; Deltaproteobacteria
Also listed under: 1 other name
Source: RNAcentral